RNAcentral lists this ribosomal RNA (497 nucleotides) under uncultured bacterium. RNAcentral describes it as "partial 16S ribosomal RNA". It matches the Rfam family "Bacterial small subunit ribosomal RNA", at positions 28 to 507 of the family's 1533-position model. The record is from RNAcentral.
GACGAACGCUGGCGGCGUGCCUAAUACAUGCAAGUUGAGCGCUGAAGGUUGGUACUUGUACCAACUGGAUGAGCAGCGAACGGGUGAGUAACGCGUGGGGAAUCUGCCUUUGAGCGGGGGACAACAUUUGGAAACGAAUGCUAAUACCGCAUAAAAACUUUAAACACAAGUUUUAAGUUUGAAAGAUGCAAUUGCAUCACUCAAAGAUGAUCCCGCGUUGUAUUAGCUAGUUGGUGAGGUAAAGGCUUACCAAGGCGAUGAUACAUAGCCGACCUGAGAGGGUGAUCGGCCAAAUUGGGACUGAGACACGGCCCAAACUCCUACGGGAGGCAGCAGUAGGGAAUCUUCGGCAAUGGACGAAAGUCUGACCGAGCAACGCCGCGUGAGUGAAGAAGGUUUUCGGAUCGUAAAACUCUGUUGGUAGAGAAGAACGUUGGUGAGAGUGGAAAGCUCAUCAAGUGACGGUAACUACCCAGAAAGGGACGGCUAACUACGUG